AUUGAACGCUGGCGGCAUGCCUUACACAUGCAAGUCGAACGGUAACAGGUCUUCGGAUGCUGACGAGUGGCGAACGGGUGAGUAUACAUCGGAACGUGCCUAGUAGUGGGGGAUAACUACUCGAAAGAGUGGCUAAUACUGCAUGAGAUCUACGGAUGAACGCAGGGGAACGCAAGACCUUGUGCUACUACAGCGGCCGAUGGCAGAUUAGGUAGUUGGUGGGAUAAAAGCUUACCAAGCCGACGAUCUGUAGCUGGUCUGAGAGGACGAUCAGCCACACUGGGACUGAGACACGGCCCAGACUCCUACGGGAGGCCGCAGUGGGGAAUUUUGGACAAUGGGCGAAAGCCUGAUCCAGCAAUGCCGCGUGCAGGAUGAAGGCCUUCGGGUUGUAAACUGCUUUUGUACGGAACGAAAAGCCCUGGGUUAAUACCCUGGGGUCAUGACGGUACCGUAAGAAUAAGCACCGGCUAACUACGUGCCAGCAGCCGCGGUAA
RNAcentral lists this ribosomal RNA (497 nucleotides) under uncultured bacterium. Its description in RNAcentral is "partial 16S ribosomal RNA". It matches the Rfam family "Bacterial small subunit ribosomal RNA", at positions 30 to 523 of the family's 1533-position model. The record is from RNAcentral.